UUGCCCUGGGGUCCUUAUUCGGAAGCUGGAUGAUCUUGCACUUCUCUCUACACCAAUAGUUUGGUACUGAUUUUGGACCAUUUAUUUGGAUCUUGGUCGGGUAACUAUGUCCCAAUCUAAUGGGAAUCGCUCAGCUUUUGAUAGCUCUGCUUUGGGGGAAAUGAACGCAAUCCAACGGAUUGUGGGACAAAAUGUUGAAUCUAGGGCAGCAAUGGUGAAGCUGAUUGGUCAUGCGAGAAUCCAAUGGGUAAUGGAACACCAGCAAGCAACAACGCCUAUUUUGAAAUGGAGGAGGAGUUUGGAUUCUUCUGGCAGGAGUCAUCUUCAAAUGGGCUCUGUUACGAACAAGAAGCUCUGUACCCGGUCUAUUUGUAACGAAAUUCCAGAGGGCUAUGGCAUUAGCUGGGUUUUGUACACCUGGAGGCUGGAAUAUAAGUUCUUGACUCAAUAUAUUUUGGCAAACAGGGGCGGCGUCUCAUUUGGAUCGUGGACAACUAUCCUAUUAGCAACAACACAUUUACUUA
Molecule: long non-coding RNA, 524 nt
Organism: Coffea arabica (coffee)
Lineage: Eukaryota; Viridiplantae; Streptophyta; Magnoliopsida; Gentianales; Rubiaceae
Source: RefSeq, a predicted model, not a curated record